CAAUGAGGAAGGCAGAGCUGGCUUUAUCACACCCUGCAGUUCUUUGGUUCUGAUGCUGCCACUGCUCCAGGUGACAUUAUUAUUGGUGGAUUAUUCCCAAUCCAUGAAAGCAUUGAUGGACCCAUAUACAGAGUCGGAAGUGAUGAAGGGACCUGUGGCAGGUUCCACUUACCUCGGCUGGUGCAAUCUCUGAUGAUGGUACACGCGGUGGAGGAGGUAAAUAGGAGGGGGGAGUUGGGGAACCUAACCCUGGGAUAUCGUAUAGUGGACUCCUGCUCUGAUGUUACCACUUCCCUGAGAAACACCUUGUCCUUUAUGAGAC
Molecule: non-coding RNA, 322 nt
Organism: Labrus bergylta (ballan wrasse)
Lineage: Eukaryota; Metazoa; Chordata; Actinopteri; Labriformes; Labridae
Source: RefSeq, a predicted model, not a curated record